Long non-coding RNA from Dreissena polymorpha, 555 nucleotides. RefSeq lists it as uncharacterized. The transcript has 3 exons. The record is from RefSeq and is a predicted model, not a curated record. Lineage: Eukaryota; Metazoa; Mollusca; Bivalvia; Myida; Dreissenidae.
GGUAUAUUGCUUUGCUCAUGUCGGUCUGUAGGUCGGUCGGUCCGUCCACCAGGUGGUUGUCAGACGAUAACUCAAGAACGCUUGGGCCUAGGAACAUGAAACUUCAUAGGUACAUUGAUCAUGACUUGCAGAUGACCCCUAUUGAUUUUGAGGUCACUAGGUCAAAGGUCAAGGUCACGGUGACCCAAAAUAGUAAAAUGGUUUCCGGAUGAUAACUCAAGAACGCAUACGCCUAGGAUCAUGAAACUUCAUGGGUAGAUUGAUCAUGACUCGCAGAUGACCCCUAUUGUUUUUGAGGUCACUAGGUCAAAGGUCAAGGUCACGGUGACCCGAAAUAGUAAAAUGAUUUUCAGAUGAUAAUUCAAGAACGCAUAUGCCUAGGAUCGUGAAACUUUAUAGGUAGAUUGAUCAUGACUCGCAGAUGACCCCUAUUGAUUUUCAGGUCACUAGGUCAAAGGUCAAGGUCACAGUGACAAAAGUCGUAUUCACACAAUGGCUGCCAGUACAACGGACAGCCCAUAUGGGGGGCAUGCAUGUUUUACAAACAGCCCUUGU